Molecule: ribosomal RNA, 530 nt
Filed under: uncultured bacterium
Lineage: Bacteria
Description: bacterial SSU rRNA
Rfam family: Bacterial small subunit ribosomal RNA
Source: RNAcentral
CCUUGACAUACUAAGAACUUUCCAGAGAUGGAUUGGUGCCUUCGGGAACUUAGAUACAGGUGCUGCAUGGCUGUCGUCAGCUCGUGUCGUGAGAUGUUGGGUUAAGUCCGCAACGAGCGCAACCCUUUUCCUUAUUUGCCAGCGGGUAAUGCCGGGAACUUUAAGGAUACUGCCAGUGACAAACUGGAGGAAGGCGGGGACGACGUCAAGUCAUCAUGGCCCUUACGGCCAGGGCUACACACGUGCUACAAUGGUCGGUACAAAGGGUUGCUACCUCGCGAGAGGAUGCUAAUCUCAAAAAGCCGAUCGUAGUCCGGAUCGCAGUCUGCAACUCGACUGCGUGAAGUCGGAAUCGCUAGUAAUCGCGGAUCAGAAUGCCGCGGUGAAUACGUUCCCGGGCCUUGUACACACCGCCCGUCACACCAUGGGAGUUUGUUGCACCAGAAGUAGGUAGUCUAACCGCAAGGAGGACGCUUACCACGGUGUGGCCGAUGACUGGGGUGAAGUCGUAACAAGGUAGGCGUAGAUGA